Molecule: ribosomal RNA, 579 nt
Filed under: bacterium 4753K4-B5
Lineage: Bacteria
Description: bacterial SSU rRNA
Rfam family: Bacterial small subunit ribosomal RNA
Source: RNAcentral
UAGCUUGCUACUUUGCUGACGAGCGGCGGACGGGUGAGUAAUGCUUGGGAACAUGCCUUGAGGUGGGGGACAACAGUUGGAAACGACUGCUAAUACCGCAUAAUGUCUACGGACCAAAGGGGGCUUCGGCUCUCGCCUUUAGAUUGGCCCAAGUGGGAUUAGCUAGUUGGUGAGGUAAUGGCUCACCAAGGCGACGAUCCCUAGCUGGUUUGAGAGGAUGAUCAGCCACACUGGGACUGAGACACGGCCCAGACUCCUACGGGAGGCAGCAGUGGGGAAUAUUGCACAAUGGGCGCAAGCCUGAUGCAGCCAUGCCGCGUGUGUGAAGAAGGCCUUCGGGUUGUAAAGCACUUUCAGUCAGGAGGAAAGGUUAGUAGUUAAUACCUGCUAGCUGUGACGUUACUGACAGAAGAAGCACCGGCUAACUCCGUGCCAGCAGCCGCGGUAAUACGGAGGGUGCGAGCGUUAAUCGGAAUUACUGGGCGUAAAGCGUACGCAGGCGGUUUGUUAAGCGAGAUGUGAAAGCCCCGGGCUCAACCUGGGAACUGCAUUUCGAACUGGCAAACUAGAGUGUGAUAG